RNAcentral lists this microRNA precursor (343 nucleotides) under Brachypodium distachyon (stiff brome). Its description in RNAcentral is "microRNA MIR7734 (MIR7734)". The record is from RNAcentral. Lineage: Eukaryota; Viridiplantae; Streptophyta; Magnoliopsida; Poales; Poaceae.
CCUCUACGGCAUUGAACGUGACUGGGUUAACGCCAUAUGGCUUGACGUUAAAGAAAAAACGUGGUAGUUUCAUGAGCAACCGAUGGUUUUUGCGGGGGUCAACGCCAAGGUCCAUGGCGUUUUUUUUUUGUGAAAAGCCAAGGUCCAUGGCAUGCCCCCCCCCCCCCCCCCCCCCCAAAAAAAACUGGAAUCGACUUUUCUGGGGUGUAAAAUUGACGUUUUGGGGGGUCAACGCCAUGGUCUGUGGCGUUGAGCUCCAACACCCCAACGCCACGAAAUUGCUCAGUUUUUUCAACGCCAGGCUAUAUGCCGUUAACCUAGUCACAUUCAACGCCAUAGUUGU